UCUCCGUUGGUGAACCAGCGGAGGGAUCAUUACAAGUAGAGUUUACGAACUCUUAAACCCUUUGUGAACCUUACCUAUCGUCAGUUGCUUCGGCGGGAGGCCCCUGGGAGGGGCCGUUGGGUGCCUGCCGAAGGUAUACCAAACUCUUGUUUUAUAAACCUAAAUCUUCUGAGUUAUUACUUUUAAAUAAGUCAAAACUUUCAACAACGGAUCUCUUGGUUCUGGCAUCGAUGAAGAACGCAGC
Molecule: unclassified non-coding RNA, 244 nt
Filed under: uncultured fungus
Lineage: Eukaryota; Fungi
Description: sequence contains ITS1, 5.8S rRNA gene
Rfam family: 5.8S ribosomal RNA (bases 196-244)
Source: RNAcentral